GACGAACGCUGGCGGCGUGCUUAACACAUGCAAGUCGAACGAUGAAGCCGGAGCUUGCUCUGGUGAAUUAGUGGCGAACGGGUGAGUAACACGUGAGUAACCUGUCCUUGACUCUGGGAUAACUGCGGGAAACUGUAGCUAAUACCGGAUACGACCCUCGGAGGCAUCUCCUGGGGGUGGAAAGAAUUUCGGUCAAGGAUGGACUCGCGGCCUAUCAGCUAGUUGGUGAGGUAAAGGCUCACCAAGGCGACGACGGGUAGCCGGCCUGAGAGGGUGACAGGCCACACGGGGACUGAGACACGGCCCAGACUCGUACGGGAGGCAGCAGUGGGGAAUAUUGCACAAUGGGCGCGAGCCUGAUGCAGCAACGCCGCGUGAGGGAUGACGGCCUUCGGGUUGUAAACCUCUUUUAGUAGGGAAGAAGCGAAAGUGACGGUACCUGCAGAAAAAGCACCGGCUAACUACGUGCCAGCAGCCGCCGCCG
RNAcentral lists this ribosomal RNA (484 nucleotides) under uncultured bacterium. RNAcentral's name for it is "partial 16S ribosomal RNA". It matches the Rfam family "Bacterial small subunit ribosomal RNA", at positions 28 to 523 of the family's 1533-position model. The record is from RNAcentral.